CCUAAGCGUAGCCAUGAGUUUCCGUGUCCAACUUUUAUCAUCCAUCUUAUUUAAAAAAAUUUUAUGAUUAGUAUUUUUAUUGUUAUUGGAUUAUAAAAAAAUAAAUAAGACGAACGAUUAAAGUUAUACGCGGAAAUAAAUGGUUACGUUUAUU
Non-coding RNA from Oryza meridionalis, 154 nucleotides. The record is from Rfam. NCBI's taxonomy places the organism in Eukaryota, Viridiplantae, Streptophyta, Magnoliopsida, Poales, Poaceae.